GAUGAACGCUAGCUACAGGCUUAACACAUGCAAGUCGAGGGACCGGCGACAGGGUGAGUAACACGUAUCCAACCUGCCCUUUACCCGGGGAUAGCCUUUCGAAAGAACGAUUAAUACCCGAUGUAAAGGAUGGGGAUGCGUUCCGUUAGGUUGUGGGUGAGGUAACGGCUCACCAAACCUUCGCUGGAUAGGGGUUCUGAGAGGAAGGUCCCCCACAUUGGAACUGAGACACGGUCCAAACGCCUACGGGAGGCAGCAGUGAGGAAUAUUGGGCAAUGGGCGUUAGCCUGAACCAGCCAAGUAGCGUGAAGGAUGAAGGCUUAUGGGUCGUAAACUUCUUUUAUAUAAGAAUAUGUAUUAUAUGAAUAAGGAUCGGCUAACUCCGUGCCAGCCGCCGCGGUAAUAC
This 406-nucleotide ribosomal RNA is filed under the name uncultured bacterium. RNAcentral describes it as "partial 16S ribosomal RNA". It matches the Rfam family "Bacterial small subunit ribosomal RNA", at positions 28 to 526 of the family's 1533-position model. The record is from RNAcentral.